UACGUAGGGUGCGAGCGCUAAUCGGAAUUACUGGGCGUAAAGCGUGCGCAGGCGGCUUUGCAAGACAGAUGUGAAAUCCCCGGGCUCAACCUGGGAACUGCAUUUGUGGCUGCAAGGCUAGAGUACGGCAGAGGGGGAUGGAAUUCCGCGAGUAGCAGUGAAAUGCGUAGAUAUGCGGAGGAACACCAAUGGCGAAGGCAAUCCCCUGGGCCUGUACUGACGCUCAUGCACGAAAGCGUGGGGAGCAAACAGG
Molecule: ribosomal RNA, 253 nt
Filed under: uncultured bacterium
Lineage: Bacteria
Description: partial 16S ribosomal RNA
Rfam family: Bacterial small subunit ribosomal RNA
Source: RNAcentral